UCCAGACUCCUACGGGAGGCAGCAGUGGGGGAUAUUGCACAAUGGGGGAAACCCUGAUGCAGCGACGCCGCGUGGGUGAAGAAGCGCCUCGACGCGUAAAGCCCUGUCAGCAGGGAAGAAAAUGACGGUACCUGAAGAAGAAGCCCCGGCUAACUACGUGCCAGCAGCCGCGGUAAUACGUAGGGGGCAAGCGUUAUCCGGAUUUACUGGGUGUAAAGGGGGCGCAGACGGCGAUGCAAGCCAGGAGUGAAAGCCCGGGGCCCAACCCCGGGACUGCUCUUGGAACUGCGUGGCUGGAGUGCAGGAGGGGCAGGCGGAAUUCCUGGUGUAGCGGUGAAAUGCGUAGAUAUCAGGAGGAACACCGGUGGCGAAGGCGGCCUGCUGGACUGCAACUGACGUUGAGGCCCGAAAGCGUGGGGAGCAAACAGGAUUAGAUACCCCGGUA
Molecule: ribosomal RNA, 445 nt
Filed under: uncultured bacterium
Lineage: Bacteria
Description: bacterial SSU rRNA
Rfam family: Bacterial small subunit ribosomal RNA
Source: RNAcentral